Molecule: ribosomal RNA, 447 nt
Filed under: uncultured bacterium
Lineage: Bacteria
Description: partial 16S ribosomal RNA
Rfam family: Bacterial small subunit ribosomal RNA
Source: RNAcentral
AACGAACGCUGGCGGCAGGCCUAAAACAUGCAAGUCGAACGAACCGCAAGGUUAGUGGCGCACGGGUGAGUAACACGUGGGAAUGUGCCUCUGGGUACGGAACAACGUCGGGAAACUGACGCUAAUACCGUAUAAUGUCUACGGACCAAAGAUUUAUCGCCCAGAGAUCAGCCCGCGUCUGAUUAGCUAGUUGGUGAGGUAACGGCUCACCAAGGCGACGAUCAGUAGCUGGUCUGAGAGGAUGAUCAGCCACACUGGAACUGAGACACGGUCCAGACUUCUACGGGAGGCAGCAGUUAGGAAUAUUGGACAAUGGGGGAAACCCUGAUCCAGCCAUGCCGCGUGUGUGAAGAAGGCCUUAGGGUUGUAAAGCACUUUCGGCUGUGAAGAUAAUGACAGUAGCAGAAGAAGAAGCUCCGGCUAAAUUCGUGCCAGGAGCCGCGGUAA